RNAcentral lists this ribosomal RNA (440 nucleotides) under uncultured bacterium. Its description in RNAcentral is "partial 16S ribosomal RNA". It matches the Rfam family "Bacterial small subunit ribosomal RNA", at positions 338 to 795 of the family's 1533-position model. The record is from RNAcentral.
CCUACGGGUGGCAGCAGUAGGGAAUAUUGCUCAAUGGGGGAAACCCUGAAGCAGCAACGCCGCGUGGAGGAUGAAGGUUUUCGGAUUGUAAACUCCUUUUGUUAGAGAAGAUAAUGACGGUAUCUAACGAAUAAGCACCGGCUAACUCCGUGUCAGCAGCCGCGGUAAUACGGAGGGUGCAAGCGUUACUCGGAAUUACUGGGCGUAAAGAGGGCGUAGGCGGGAUAGCAAGUCAGAUGUGAAAUCCAAUGGCUUAACCAUGGAACUGCAUUUGAAACUGUUAUUCUAGAGUAUGGGAGAGGUAGGUGGAAUUCUUGGUGUAGGGGUAAAAUCCGUAGAGAUCAAGAGGAAUACUCAUUGCGAAGGCGACCUGCUAGAACAUAACUGACGCUGAUGCGCGAAAGCGUGGGGAGCAAACAGGAUUAGAUACCCCAGUAGUC